CGCGUUCCGUUGGGGACCGUAUGGCGUACAGUAUGGCAUACUUCCCCCGAAUCGGGGGGGACCAGCAUACGGCUCGCCUUGCGGGAGCGUGCGGGACCUUGCGCUCCUCGGAGGUGAAUGCUUGGCGGUGUCUGGCAACUAUUGUUUAUCAACAAACCGCAGACGUCCGCCGCUUCACCACUAUAUUAUCAGUGUGGGGGAUGUAAAUGCUAUUUUGACAGCUUAUGCGACGUCACAGAACAUCAAAACAAUGUGGGUCCCCCAAUGCGGAGGUGUCUCUGGCGUUUCCCCUCUACCAGCUGGGGUAAUCUGAGCAGGACCAAAGCCGCGCCACGCCCUCAGGACUGACAAGGCGGAAGGUGAAGUUCUCCAUGCUCUCCCAUUGAAUAAUUGACGCACGCAGAGACGAGGGGAGGCACAGGAGACGCAUCAGGAAUUCCCACAUGUUCGGC
Portunus trituberculatus (swimming crab) is the source of this 452-nucleotide long non-coding RNA. RefSeq lists it as uncharacterized. The transcript has 3 exons. The record is from RefSeq and is a predicted model, not a curated record. Lineage: Eukaryota; Metazoa; Arthropoda; Malacostraca; Decapoda; Portunidae.